RNAcentral lists this ribosomal RNA (253 nucleotides) under uncultured bacterium. RNAcentral describes it as "partial 16S ribosomal RNA". It matches the Rfam family "Bacterial small subunit ribosomal RNA", at positions 524 to 776 of the family's 1533-position model. The record is from RNAcentral.
UACGUAGGUGGCAAGCGUUGUCCGGAAUUAUUGGGCGUAAAGCGCGCGCAGGCGGUUUCUUAAGUCUGAUGUGAAAGCCCACGGCUUAACCGUGGAAGGUCAUUGGAAACUGGGAGACUUGAGUGCAGAAGAGAAGAGCGGAAUUCCACGUGUAGCGGUGAAAUGCGUAGAGAUGUGGAGGAACACCAGUGGCGAAGGCGGCUCUUUGGUCUGUAACUGACGCUGAGGCGCGAAAGCGUGGGGAGCGAACAGG